This 506-nucleotide ribosomal RNA is filed under the name uncultured bacterium. Its description in RNAcentral is "partial 16S ribosomal RNA". It matches the Rfam family "Bacterial small subunit ribosomal RNA", at positions 29 to 523 of the family's 1533-position model. The record is from RNAcentral.
AGUGAACGCUGGCGGUAGGCCUAACACAUGCAAGUCGAACGGCAGCACAGGAGAGCUUGCUCUCUGGGUGGCGAGUGGCGGACGGGUGAGGAAUACAUCGGAAUCUACUCUGUCGUGGGGGAUAACGUAGGGAAACUUACGCUAAUACCGCAUACGACCUACGGGUGAAAGCAGGGGAUCUUCGGACCUUGCGCGAUUGAAUGAGCCGAUGUCGGAUUAGCUAGUUGGCGGGGUAAGGGCCCGCCAAGGCGACGAUCCGUAGCUGGUCUGAGAGGAUGAUCAGCCACACUGGAAAUGAGACACGGUCCAGACUCCUACGGGAGGCAGCAGUGGGGAAUAUUGGACAAUGGGCGCAAGCCUGAUCCAGCCAUACCGCGUGGGUGAAGAAGGCCUUCGGGUUGUAAAGCCCUUUUGUUGGGAAAGAAAUCCAGCUGGCUAAUACCCGGUUGGGAUGACGGUACCCAAAGAAUAAGCACCGGCUAACUUCGUGCCAGCCGCCGCGGUAA